UACCAGUUGUGAGAAUUAAAUAACCAUUAAUCAGUUAUCAAAUUCAUGUCCGCCAUUUUGAUGAUUAAACCGGAAGUGGAUAAAAUUAAGCUUGCUUCCAUAUCUAAUUUUGUUUAGAAUGAUCCAAACUAGGUUUCUACCAAAUUUUAUGCUUUUAACACAAAGUGCACAAUUAUUCACCUAUCUGCUGGACUAUAAAGGUUGUUGUGAAAGUAUACACAUUUUGAACAUAUCUGUAUGCGAAGGUAAACGAAAAAGUCCUUUUUAAUCCUUCAGUUAACAGAAAGGAAAGAUCCGAGAUUGAUUUGAUGGAUAGUUUUGUCCUAUCACCACAACAAAGAUCGAGCGCUGUAAAAAUAC
RNAcentral lists this long non-coding RNA (360 nucleotides) under Mytilus galloprovincialis (Mediterranean mussel). Lineage: Eukaryota; Metazoa; Mollusca; Bivalvia; Mytilida; Mytilidae. The record is from RNAcentral.